This 1393-nucleotide ribosomal RNA is filed under the name Salmonella enterica subsp. enterica serovar Thompson. RNAcentral's name for it is "bacterial LSU rRNA". It matches the Rfam family "Bacterial large subunit ribosomal RNA", at positions 1568 to 2925 of the family's 2925-position model. RNAcentral also lists the same sequence under 5 other names. Lineage: Bacteria; Pseudomonadati; Pseudomonadota; Gammaproteobacteria; Enterobacterales; Enterobacteriaceae. The record is from RNAcentral.
GACGAGGCACUACGGUGCUGAAGCAACAAAUGCCCUGCUUCCAGGAAAAGCCUCUAAGCAUCAGGUAACAUCAAAUCGUACCCCAAACCGACACAGGUGGUCAGGUAGAGAAUACCAAGGCGCUUGAGAGAACUCGGGUGAAGGAACUAGGCAAAAUGGUGCCGUAACUUCGGGAGAAGGCACGCUGACACGUAGGUGAAGUGAUUUACUCACGGAGCUGAAGUCAGUCGAAGAUACCAGCUGGCUGCAACUGUUUAUUAAAAACACAGCACUGUGCAAACACGAAAGUGGACGUAUACGGUGUGACGCCUGCCCGGUGCCGGAAGGUUAAUUGAUGGGGUCAGCGCAAGCGAAGCUCCUGAUCGAAGCCCCGGUAAACGGCGGCCGUAACUAUAACGGUCCUAAGGUAGCGAAAUUCCUUGUCGGGUAAGUUCCGACCUGCACGAAUGGCGUAAUGAUGGCCAGGCUGUCUCCACCCGAGACUCAGUGAAAUUGAACUCGCUGUGAAGAUGCAGUGUACCCGCGGCAAGACGGAAAGACCCCGUGAACCUUUACUAUAGCUUGACACUGAACAUUGAGCCUUGAUGUGUAGGAUAGGUGGGAGGCUUUGAAGUGUGGACGCCAGUCUGCAUGGAGCCGACCUUGAAAUACCACCCUUUAAUGUUUGAUGUUCUAACGUGGACCCGUAAUCCGGGUUGCGGACAGUGUCUGGUGGGUAGUUUGACUGGGGCGGUCUCCUCCUAAAGAGUAACGGAGGAGCACGAAGGUUGGCUAAUCCUGGUCGGACAUCAGGAGGUUAGUGCAAUGGCAUAAGCCAGCUUGACUGCGAGCGUGACGGCGCGAGCAGGUGCGAAAGCAGGUCAUAGUGAUCCGGUGGUUCUGAAUGGAAGGGCCAUCGCUCAACGGAUAAAAGGUACUCCGGGGAUAACAGGCUGAUACCGCCCAAGAGUUCAUAUCGACGGCGGUGUUUGGCACCUCGAUGUCGGCUCAUCACAUCCUGGGGCUGAAGUAGGUCCCAAGGGUAUGGCUGUUCGCCAUUUAAAGUGGUACGCGAGCUGGGUUUAGAACGUCGUGAGACAGUUCGGUCCCUAUCUGCCGUGGGCGCUGGAGAACUGAGGGGGGCUGCUCCUAGUACGAGAGGACCGGAGUGGACGCAUCACUGGUGUUCGGGUUGUCAUGCCAAUGGCACUGCCCGGUAGCUAAAUGCGGAAGAGAUAAGUGCUGAAAGCAUCUAAGCACGAAACUUGCCCCGAGAUGAGUUCUCCCUGAGACUUAGAGUCUCCUGAAGGAACGUUGAAGACGACGACGUUGAUAGGCCGGGUGUGUAAGCGCAGCGAUGCGUUGAGCUAACCGGUACUAAUGAACCGUGAGGCUUAACCUUACAACGCCGAAG